This 253-nucleotide ribosomal RNA is filed under the name uncultured bacterium. Its description in RNAcentral is "partial 16S ribosomal RNA". It matches the Rfam family "Bacterial small subunit ribosomal RNA", at positions 524 to 776 of the family's 1533-position model. The record is from RNAcentral.
UACGUAGGGUGCGAACGUUGUCCGGAAUUAUUGGGCGUAAAGAGCUCGUAGGCGGUCUGUCGCGUCGAAUGUGAAAAUCCGAGGCUCAACCUCGGACCUGCAUUCGAUACGGGCAGACUAGAGUUCGGUAGGGGAGGCUGGAAUUCCUGGUGUAGCGGUGAAAUGCGCAGAUAUCAGGAGGAACACCGGUGGCGAAGGCGGGACUCUGGGCCGAUACUGACGCUGAGGAGCGAAAGCGUGGGGAGCAAACAGG